UCGAUCUAAUAAGUUACAGCUGUUAUUUUCAAUGCUCUUGGGUCUGGAUGCCACCCUCUAUAACAAAAGGAAAGUAAAAGAAAAUGGGAGAAUAUAAAUGGUAUGUUCUAUCUUCAUAAAAUGUAAAACUUUAAACUAAAACUAAAAAUUGGAGAAGAGAAGUAUAUUGGUCCGAACUGAUUCAAUAGUAAUAUAAGAGUUAAAUAGGGCAGCGGAGAAAACAAUUAUAUUUUAGAAUUGUUGUUU
This 246-nucleotide long non-coding RNA is filed under the name Lathyrus oleraceus (garden pea). RNAcentral describes it as "Pisum sativum (pea) long non-coding RNA (PSAT_LNC008717)". The record is from RNAcentral. Lineage: Eukaryota; Viridiplantae; Streptophyta; Magnoliopsida; Fabales; Fabaceae.